CCUACGGGAGGCAGCAGUGAGGAAUAUUGGUCAAUGGACGCAAGUCUGAACCAGCCAUGCCGCGUGCAGGAAGACGGCUCUAUGAGUUGGAAACUGCUUUUGUACGAGGGUAAACGCAGAUACGCGUAUCUGUCUGAAAGUAACGUACGAAUAAGGAUCGGCUAACUCCGUGCCAGCAGCCGCGGUAAUACGGAGGAUUCAAGCGUUAUCCGGAUUUAUGGGGUUGAAAGGGUGCGUAGGCGGUCGGCUAAGUUAGAGGUGAAAUCCCGAGGCUCAACUUCGGAAUUGCCUCUGCUACUGUUCGGCUAGAGCGUAGUUGCGGUAGGCGGCAUUCGUGGUGUAGCGGU
This 347-nucleotide ribosomal RNA is filed under the name uncultured bacterium. RNAcentral's name for it is "partial 16S ribosomal RNA". It matches the Rfam family "Bacterial small subunit ribosomal RNA", at positions 338 to 682 of the family's 1533-position model. The record is from RNAcentral.